CCUACGGGAGGCAGCAGUAAGGAAUAUUGGUCAAUGGAGGCAACUCUGAACCAGCCAUGCCGCGUGCAGGAAGACAGCCCUAUGGGUCGUAAACUGCUUUUAUACGGGAAUAAACUUUGAUUCGUGAAUCAAGCUGAAUGUACCGUAAGAAUAAGGAUCGGCUAACUCCGUGCCAGCAGCCGCGGUAAUACGGAGGAUCCAAGCGUUAUCCGGAUUUAUUGGGUUUAAAGGGAGCGUAGGCGGCCUAUUAAGUCAGGGGUGAAAGACGGUGGCUCAACCAUCGCAGUGCCUUUGAUACUGAUGGGCUUGAAUAUAGUUGAGGUAGGCGGAAUGUGACAAGUAGCGGUGAAAUGCAUAGAUAUGUCACAGAACACCGAUUGCGAAGGCAGCUUACUAAGCUAUGAUUGACGCUGAGGCUCGAAAGCGUGGGGAUCAAACAGGAUUAGAUACCCUGGUAGUCCACGACCUAACGAUANAUACUACGAUGUUGUGAUAUACAGCAGCGCACGACGAAGAGUA
This 519-nucleotide ribosomal RNA is filed under the name uncultured bacterium. RNAcentral's name for it is "bacterial SSU rRNA". It matches the Rfam family "Bacterial small subunit ribosomal RNA", at positions 338 to 854 of the family's 1533-position model. The record is from RNAcentral.